RNAcentral lists this long non-coding RNA (1742 nucleotides) under Dromaius novaehollandiae (emu). Its description in RNAcentral is "lncRNA (ENSDNVG00000006559.1)". Lineage: Eukaryota; Metazoa; Chordata; Aves; Casuariiformes; Dromaiidae. The record is from RNAcentral.
UUAGUCCCUAGCAAAACCUCCCAUGCCAAUGGGUUAGKCCAGCAGGAUGAUAUCGCUGUGGAGGGGACACUGGGGACAACACGGACCACAGCUCUGUCUCAUAUCAAACUAGGCAUGGGAUUGUCACCUCCUGCUAUCAGCAAGAGCACUGCGGCAUCCCAUGAAGCUGCUGGGCUCCCAUCCCAGGAGGUCACGUCAGAGCUGGACAAGGGCACCUCCCCUCACACAGCAGCAGGAAGAGCAGAGGGGGUGACACCACCAUUUGAAGACCUCCCAAGUGCUUCCUCAGCGAGGGCCACCUUCUCUCCCAUCAGUAGGACUACAGAGCCAGGGACAACCGCCUUACCUGCAGCUGGCCAUGACGCCUCCCAGGAGCCUCCGACACCCCCUGCUUGGCCACCUCCAGCCAUUUCCCCUGCAGGCCCUGGCAGUGCCACAGCAGAGCUGGUAGCAAGUGCCUUCCCAGUCUCAUCAGCCACGGAGUCAAGUGAAGGAGUGCCAUCGCCCACCAGCAAUGACGCAGGCCCUGGGCAAGGGACGGAGCACUUGUCCCCACAUGGGACAAAUGUCGCUGCUGGAGAUGGGCCGCCUAGAGCCAGCACCGGUACCCCCCUCCGUGCCACCACGCCAUCUCUGGACACAGCAGCCACAGCCACUGUCGGGCGCCAUGCUGAUCCAGCUGCCACCUCCUCUUCCUCCAGCAUGGAGGUAACUGCUGCAAAGGACGUCCCUGCUGGGUUGUUUCCAGACCCAGAAAAUACCACCACUGAGUUGGUCUUUGGCACAAGCAAGUCCACCUCCAGAGCAGUGACUGGCACUGCUUCCCCAAGGACCACGAGCUCCCUGAUGGGCACGGCACCAUUGCCCAGCACUGCUGGAAAGGCCCCAGCUCCCAGCACGGCAUUUCCUGAUGAUCCCAGUACUGCUGCUGGACUGAUGAACAGCGUCUCCACUGCGCCGCGUGGCAGUCCCUCUCCCAGGCCCUUCGCAGGCACGGUGUCCUCCUUCGGAGACCCCGCUGGGGCUCUGCCCACCACAACAGCCUUUGCAGACCCUGACGCUGCCACGGCAGAAGCAGCUGCAGGUGAAUCCUCUCCAGCAAGACUCAGCAUGGCGAUGUCCUUGCCCCUUGCUGGAAACAGUGCCAGAAAAGCACAGACAGAUGUGUCCCCUGGAUCCACUGCAGCACCAUCUUCCCUUGGCAGGUAUGACAAGAUGACCAUCCCAGCUGCAGACCUGUCCUCCUCCUUCACCAUGAGCCCAAUCAGUGAAGCAGGGCCAGCCUUUGGAAAUACCCCUGCCAAGGAAGGUCCCAGCGCAUCGACCGCAGCAGCGGGCAGUUCCCCCGGGCCAGGCACCGUGACGCCCUGGGAUGCCAGCCCCAUGCCUGCUUUGCCUGACGUGUCUCCUGGCCUURGCAGCAGCCGCCCAGGGCCAGCUGUGGGCUCACCGCCGCCAACAGUCAGCAUCGUGAGUGACCCUGCACCAUCCAAGGUGACUAGGAGUGGACCUGUAAGCAAGUCAGCUGUCCCUGGGUCUUCGCUGCUCCUCAUGCCAUCCUCAGACAUGACCGCUCUGGUUUCAGUCACCGACAGCAGCAACCCAGACCUGGGCUCUUCUGCAGCUGUGGCCAAGAUCUCCAUUGGACUCUCUCCCCCAUCCAGGAGCAUCACUUUUAACCCAGCCACAGCCGCUCUGGGCAUGAACACCGCGACGCCACAAGCACCUCAAAGUGUCUCAGC